GCUAAACAAACCUGGAGAUAGCUGGCUCUCCCCGAAAUGCCUUUAGGGACAGCCUUGCGCAAAACCCGCGGAGGUAAAGCACUGGCUGGUGGCGGGGGCGUCAAAGCCUACCAACACCUGCCAAACUCUGAAUGCCGCGGGUCAACGCGCAGGAGUGAGACCAUGUGCGCCAAGGUUCAUGGUCGAGAGGGAAACAGCCCGGACCGUCGGCUAAGGUCCCAAAGUCAUGCUGAGUGUGAAAUGAGGUCCGGAUGCGCGGACAGCCAGGAGGUUGGCUCAGAAGCAGCCAUUCCUUGAAAGAGUGCGUAACAGCUCACUGGUCGAGCAUCCGGGCGCAGACAAUGUAACGGGGCUAAGCAUGGCACCGAAGCCGCGGGGGCAAAGCGAUUUCAGUUUUGCCCGGUAGGGGAGCAUUCCAUGGACCUGCGAAGGCGUACCUGCGAGGGGCGCUGGAGGGGAUGGAAGAGAGAAUGCAGGCAUGAGUAACGAAAAGACGGGUGAGAUCCCCGUCCGCCGAAAACCUAAGGUUUCCGGGGUAAAGGCAAUCUUCCCCGGGUAAGUCGGCCCCUAAGGCGAGGAGGAAACCCGUAGCCGAUGGGAACCCGGUUCAUAAUCCGGGACCUGUCAUGUUGCGAUGCCGUGACGCAUGAGGUGAAGUCCGGCCGGAGAACGGUAGUUCCGGUCGAAGCUGCAAGUCUGCGAGGGAGGGGUUAAAUGACCUUCUGAGAUGAGCGGUGACAGCGAGGCGAGGGAAGCUGAGCCGAAGCGGACGUAGCCACGGUGACAAGAAACAGCGGCUAGCAUAGGCAUGACGGACCGUACCGUAGACGGACACACGUGGGUGGGAUGAGCAAUCUAAGGCGCUCGAGCGAACUCGCGUCAAGGAACUCGGCAAAAUGCGCACGUAACUUCGGGAGAAGUGCGGCUCCGGUUUGAAAGGACACGGAGCGGCAGAAAGCGGGCCCAGGCGACUGUUUAUCAAAAACACAGCCAUCUGCGAACCAGCAAUGGGACGUAUAGGUGGUGACACCUGCCCGGUGCCGGAAGGUUAAGGGGAGAGGUCAGCGGCGACGCGAAGCUUCGAACCGAAGCCCCGGUAAACGGCGGCCGUAACUAUAACGGUCCUAAGGUAGCGAAAUUCCUUGUCGGGUAAGUUCCGACCCGCACGAAUGGUGCAACGAUUCUGGGCGCUGUCUCGACGCGAGACUCGGUGAAAUUUAUGUUCCGGUAAAGAAGCCGGAUACUCGAAAUUAGACGGAAAGACCCCGUGAACCUUCACCGCAACCUAGCGCUGGGACCCUAUCCGCCAUGUGUAGGAUAGCUGGGAGCCUAAGAGGCGUGGCCGUCAGGCUGCGCGGAGGCGCCGGUGAAAUACCAGCCCUGGCGGAUGGGGUUUCUAACCCGGACCCUGAAGCGGGCCCGGGGACAGGGCUAGGCGGGCGGUUUGACUGGGGCGGUCGCCUCCCAAAGGGUAACGGAGGUGCGCGAAGGUCCCCUCGCGAUGAUUGGAAACCAUCGUGCGAGCGCAAAGGCACAAGGGGGCUUGACUGCGAGACGGACACGUCGGGCAGGUGCGAAAGCAGGUCUUAGUGAUCUGGCGGUGCCGUGUGGAAGGGCCGUCACUUAACGGACAAAAGGUACUCCGGGGAUAACAGGCUGAUUUUCCCCAAGAGUUCACAUCGACGGGAAAGUUUGGCACCUCGAUGUCGGCUCAUCGCAUCCUGGGGCUGGAGCAGGUCCCAAGGGUUUGGCUGUUCGCCAAUUAAAGCGGUACGUGAGCUGGGUUCAGAACGUCGCGAGACAGUUCGGUCCCUAUCUGUUUUGAGCGUCGGAAGUCUGAGAGGGGCCGCCUUUAGUACGAGAGGACCGAGGCGGACGGACCUCUGGUUUGCCGGUUGUCCCGCCAGGGGCAUAUGCCGGGUAUCCACGUCCGGGAGGGAUAACCGCUGAAAGCAUCUAAGCGGGAAGCCCACCUCAAGAUUAGACCUCCCAGGGGACUUCGGUCCCCCCGAAGGCUCCGGAGACACCAUCCGGUCGAUAGGCUGCAGGUGCAAGCGCGGCGACGCGCUCAGCCGAGCAGUACUAAUAAGCCGCGAGGCUUGACCAU
Molecule: ribosomal RNA, 2107 nt
Filed under: human oral metagenome
Description: bacterial LSU rRNA
Rfam family: Bacterial large subunit ribosomal RNA
Source: RNAcentral